UUUGAACUCUGGCCUCAAAUCAGGUAGGACUACCCGCUGAACUUAAGCAUAUCAAUAAGCGGAGG
This 65-nucleotide ribosomal RNA is filed under the name Effuseotrichosporon vanderwaltii. RNAcentral's name for it is "partial 26S ribosomal RNA". The stretch from base 10 to 65 matches the Rfam family "Eukaryotic large subunit ribosomal RNA", at positions 1 to 56 of the family's 3401-position model. Lineage: Eukaryota; Fungi; Basidiomycota; Tremellomycetes; Trichosporonales; Trichosporonaceae. The record is from RNAcentral.